RNAcentral lists this ribosomal RNA (250 nucleotides) under uncultured bacterium. RNAcentral describes it as "partial 16S ribosomal RNA". It matches the Rfam family "Bacterial small subunit ribosomal RNA", at positions 524 to 773 of the family's 1533-position model. The record is from RNAcentral.
UACGGAGGGGGCUAGCGUUAUUCGGAAUUACUGGGCGUAAAGCGCACGUAGGCGGACUGGAAAGUUGGAGGUGAAAUCCCAGGGCUCAACCUUGGAACUGCCUUCAAAACUAUCAGUCUAGAGUUCGAGAGAGGUGAGUGGAAUUCCGAGUGUAGAGGUGAAAUUCGUAGAUAUUCGGAGGAACACCAGUGGCGAAGGCGGCUCACUGGCUCGAUACUGACGCUGAGGUGCGAAAGCGUGGGGAGCAAAC